Molecule: long non-coding RNA, 1479 nt
Filed under: Androctonus crassicauda
Lineage: Eukaryota; Metazoa; Arthropoda; Arachnida; Scorpiones; Buthidae
Source: RNAcentral
CUUGUGUGUAUUUUUUACUUUUUUCUUAUUUUAUCUACUUUAUGUGUUUUUAUUUUAUUUUGUUAAAGAGGAAGCUGUUGUUGUUCGAUUUAAAAAUUUCACAAAUACUCAAAAAGACGUCGACAUUAAAGAUAAAGAAAGGAAAAAGAAGAAAAAAAAAGAAAACACCCUACGAAUCUGUCAUUAGAUCUCUAAGUAUGUCUGCAAAUAGGAGUGUAAAAAAAGGAGAAAAACUUAUCUUUUUUCCCCCUUCCAACAAUGCAAACGGGGCAGAAAUAAUUUUACCAGCAAAUGACAAAGCCAGAAGCGACCGAACGAUAUUUCCUCACUUCUUUACUUUGAAAGAGAAUCGAAAAGGUUGGCCGUACUGUAGCUAUUUCUGAGUACGUCUUGUGCACACCGCGUAUUGGGAGGAGUCGUACAUAGUGAAAAAUGUCGCUAAAGGUAUGGCGACUGUCAAUGUUAGAUCAGCGAUAGUUUUCCCUAGAGGAUUCUUCUGCUAGAGAGGAUGGGGAUCACGGUUAAAAAGAAGAAGAAGAAGAAGAAGAAAAAACCUGUCCCAAUUUUUAGACAGAUGCUCGAUGGCUCCGAGAACGUAGCUCACCUGAAUCUACGUCCGAUGAUGGAUAAGACGAAAGAAAUGCUAGGAAAACGUUUACAGAGGAGAAGCGCGGUUUAUAACUCUUCUUUGGGAGUCAGGUGAUGAUGGUGUGUGAUGUAAGCAGUCUUCAUUCUUUCUCGGCGAUUUGGUCUGUUUCCAUCUUUCUCCCCCUCUCCUUUUCUUGAUCGUUAGAGAGUCUGCGAGGAUUUUACGCUAAAUUUGCUACCGGACAACCUUUCCGAAAUACCGUUGAGAGACUAUUAUCUCAACUCUCAUCGACCAUUUCCAAUACUUGAGACUAGAUAAACGUACAAAUGUUUCAUUUCGACCGUUAGAGAUAAAGAGCGCGCAGUAGAAUAUAUAAAAAAAAAAAAAAAAAAAAAAAAUGUAAAAUUUGUAAAUUAUGCAUACUUUUUAAGCAUUUUUUACCUUUACUGUGGGUCCUUUCCUCUCCUUUAUCUCUGGGGCUUUACUGAAAAUUCACUAUUUUGUUAUAGUUCUAAUAUGAUUUAACUGCUCUCUAGAUUUAAGAUGCAUUUUCUGCUGAGCCAUUUCAGUUUUUCACAUAUAAAAUGAUUCCCUAUGGUAUAGGAUAGAAUUCAUCCACCAUAUCACCCAUGUGCCAUAAGUAACUAAAGCGUGUCCUCUUUCUUCUGUUAAUGACUGUCACGCUUCUGGCAGCAUCCUUUUCCUGUUCUCCUCCAUGUUUAGCAGGAGGAGAAGAGGGAAAGGAUGUUGCCAGAAAAGAUUUUUUUUCAUCAUGCAUUUUUUUUCCUACUUUCUCAUCUUGUCUUUUCAUUCUUCAAAAAUUUAGAUCUCCUGAGUGUUUCCUGAUUUCUUUCAAUAAAGAGUAUUAUAAAAUAUAAUUUUAAAUUAUG